RNAcentral lists this transfer RNA (64 nucleotides) under Loligo uyii. RNAcentral's name for it is "Loliolus uyii tRNA-Cys". Lineage: Eukaryota; Metazoa; Mollusca; Cephalopoda; Myopsida; Loliginidae. The record is from RNAcentral.
AAGUUUCAAUGGUACACCAUAUCCUUAAGUUUGCAACUUAAUAUUUUAUAUAAACUAUGAAACC